ACCACACCGCUAGCGCCUCUGAACCUCGCCAGGCACGUCCGGUUCUGCGGCCCCCACUCCGCCCCCGCCUGCCAGGAGCCGCGCAGUUACAAAAUGCCAGGAGCCGUGGAAGGCCAGUGAACCCCUCGCUGAGACUCAGUUUGCUGCCAUCACAAGUGCUCCGAGAAUCCUGGAGAGGGAGGAUGUUGGAGACAAACGGGACUGCUGCCUGCCUCUUAGGCGACCGUCAGAGGCUGCUCUGUGCCGGGCACAGGUGGAACAGGCUCCCACAGCUCAGAAGUCAGCGGAGCAGAGUUCCCAGGAAACCAGGGUCAGGGAUAGAGGCUGCUGAGGAGCGGGUCUUGGAGGUGGAGGCCAGACACAAGGAAAUCACAGUACUAGUAAAUGACAAAGGCUGGAUCUUAACCCAAGUCCUCCGACUCUGAAGGCUGUACCCAACAGGUCCCAUUUUAUUUGUUUUACUUUUUUUUUAAUUGAAGAAAAAAAAACUAGCAUUCCCCUACAGUGCCUUCCACCCGAUGGGGACAUCUCGGGUUGGCAAGGCCACCACUUUCAAGAGUAGAAGUGUUUUUCAGCAGGAGGAGUUUGCGGCACCGAAGGAAAUCAGGAGAAGCUGGGGCCUCAGGUCCAGCAGGAACAGCCAGAGGUUUUGCCCCGUGGCUGGGCUCGCCCAAGGGUCUUCCUGUGGGUUCCCAGCAUGAGCCGAAGCCACCCUCCCCUGUGGGAUCUAUGAGGCCAGGCAUGGGGCCUCUUUAGGCCUCAGUUUCCUCCCGUCAUAGGCAACUGACAGUCCCUCUGGAGUGCCACUGGAGCUGCAGAGGCCGGAGAGAUGGUGCCCCCACUCCCCGCCAACCCCCCCCCCCCCAAAGCUCUCAGCAGGACGGUGGCUGCCUGGCUGAUUGCUUUUGCAUUUGCAGCAGAGCGGGGGAGUGAGGCCAAGCUGGGUGCCCCCCCCCCUGCCCAGCCAGCUCAGACCCAGGCUCUGGGGAAAACAGUGUGAGUCACCGGGCGGCCAGAGUGCGUCCUUCCCCGCUAGCGCACUACACGGCAGGUUUCAUAGCUUGACAGCAAAGUGUUUGAAAACGAAGAGCAGGAAUUCCGUGGUUCCUGCCCGGUCUCGCCAUCCAGCUGGGAGAAGAGCACGGUCAUUUCCUUCACUUAGUCCACGGCCACUGGGCGCUCAUCCCCAGCACAGCCCUCCCCCUGCCGCGGCAAAGACUGUUCCUGUCCUGCUGAGGGCUGUGCCCCCAGAGACUCAAUUGAGAUUCUGUAAGAUGUGGGGGAUGUGGCGGGGGAGGGGGGUGCUUCUCCACAACCCCAGGGCUCUCCUUCUUCCCCAGUGAGGUAGGAGAAGCCGCAGAUGGGGUCUGCUGAGGAGCAGGCCUACGUGAGGGCCAGGCUGUGACCCAUGGCUCCGGGGACCAGAAGGUAAACAAUUUUGGCACAGGAUGCACCCACUAGGUCAUAGGUGGAUUCAGCCUUCUCUGAGAACCGAGAAGAUUCUGGAGUCUUUUGAAGCAGCAAAGGAGAUCAGAGGAGGAGAUGGUGGCAAAGCGGGGACUGAGACUCUUGACAUGUGUUUAUCCCAGGCAGAGCAGCCGCUGAAAGGGGAGAUGGAGAGAGAGUGUCAGAAGCAGUACUGGGUGUUUUCCUGGGGUCUCUCCACAGUGCCCAAUCAUUUCUGAAUCACCAGGCCCGCUGGCACAGGGGUCUGCAGCCCAACCUCACAGAAUGACCGCCUCUCUGCAGGCGGGCAUCUCCCUGACAGCCCCCUCCCAGGACAGAAAACCUAUAGACACCUGGCUGCUGGGUGUCAGGCCACCCGCCCGUUUCUCUUCCUUUCCUUCCAGCCUUUCCUCUCCCAACCAGCCCCCUCCCCACCCGGUCCCCCUUCUAUUUUUCCUGGCUAAAACCAGCCACAGAUACCACCACACCCGGAAAGAGAUAAAUAAAUAAAAGAAAAACAACCUCAACUGUGAAAA
Molecule: long non-coding RNA, 1982 nt
Organism: Symphalangus syndactylus (siamang)
Lineage: Eukaryota; Metazoa; Chordata; Mammalia; Primates; Hylobatidae
Source: RefSeq, a predicted model, not a curated record